AUUCGUAUAUACGUNCUAGUCGAGCGCNACCAGAGGCUUCGGUCUUGGGGAGAGCGGCGAACGGGUGAGUAACACGUGAGCAACCUACCGUUUGGAGGGGGAUAACCCUCAGAAAUGAGGGCUAAUACCGCAUGAGCUUAGGGAGUUGCAGGACUUUGCAAGCAAAGGUGAGUAGCGCCAGACGAGGGGCUUGCGGCCCAUCAGCUAGUAGGUGUGGUAGUGGCGCACCUAGGCGAUGACGGGUAGCUGUUCUGAGAGGAUGAUCAGCCACACUGGGACUGAGACACGGCCCAGACUCCUACGGGAGGCAGCAGCGAGGAAUUUUCCACAAUGGACCGAGAUAAGGUCUGAUGGAGCAACGCCGCGUGGAGGAGGAAGCACUUCGGUGUGUAAACUUCUUUUGGGUGGGAAGAUGAUGACGGUACCACCCGAAUAAGCCCCGGCUAACUACGUGCCAGCAGCCGCGGUAAUACGUAGGGGGCUAGCGUUGUCCGGAAUUACUGGGCGUAAAGAGCGCGCAGGUGGUCUGAUAAGUCACACGUGAAAGCCCCCGGCUCAACUGGGGAGGGUCGAGUGAUACUGUUGGACUUGAGGUUGGGAGAGGAGUGUGGAAUUCCCGGUGUAGUGGUGAAAUGCGUAGAUAUCGGGAGGAACACCAGUGGCGAAGGCGGCACUCUGGCCCACACCUGACGCUGAGGCGCGAAGGCUGGGGGAGCGAACGGGAUUAGAUACCCCGGUAGUCCCAGCAGUAAACGAUGGACACUAGGUGUCGGGGGUGUUGACCCCUCCGGUGCCCAAGCUAACGCAUUAAGUGUCCCGCCUGGGGAGUACGGCCGCGAGGCUAAAACUCAAAGNAAUUGACGGGGGCCCGCACAAGCAGCG
This 882-nucleotide ribosomal RNA is filed under the name uncultured Chloroflexota bacterium. Its description in RNAcentral is "bacterial SSU rRNA". It matches the Rfam family "Bacterial small subunit ribosomal RNA", at positions 44 to 934 of the family's 1533-position model. Lineage: Bacteria; Bacillati; Chloroflexota. The record is from RNAcentral.